Molecule: non-coding RNA, 1386 nt
Organism: Maylandia zebra (zebra mbuna)
Lineage: Eukaryota; Metazoa; Chordata; Actinopteri; Cichliformes; Cichlidae
Source: RefSeq, a predicted model, not a curated record
UUUUUUUUUGGGUCUAGCUGCCUUUCUGCAUGCAUUUAGGUCACUGAUUGAAGCUAUGAGACUAUUAUGUGCGGUGCUGCCAUGGCUACUCUGUGUGGGGGAGCUUCAAGCAAAUGUAAAAUCUUUGUAUCCUGACUCUGAAACUGCAGAUGUGGUAAAACCUCAGCAGGCCUCAGGUUACCAGUCCAACCUUCAGCUCCAGCUUCCCAACUACCGGCCCUGGUCACAUUUCCAGAUUCCUAAUUAUCAGUCCCGGUCAGAUUCCCAGAUUCCCAAUUACCAGUCCUGGUUGCGUUCUGAGGUUCCCACCUAUAAGCCUCGGUCAAAUUAUCAGAUGCCCAGCUAUAAACCUUGGUCACAUUACCAGAUUCCCAACUAUAGGCCUUGGUCACAUUACCAGAUUCCCAACUACAAGCCUAGGUCACAACACCGGGUUCCCAAUUACCAGGCGUCGUUGCCGUCCCAGGCUUCCAGGUAUCAGGUUUGGCCUCGGUCCCUGGUUCCUGCCCACCAAUACCAGGUUGGAUUACAGGAUCAGGCCUUCCAAAGCAGUACUCUGCCUCAAAGUCAGGGCACACAGAGAAAGCCUCAGACUUGGAGGCAAGUACAGAAUUCCUAGCACAGGUUUCCGACACGUACCCAGAGGCAGGGCUCUCAGCGCAGGCUUCAGAUUGAGACCCAGAGGCAGGGCUCCCAGGAUAUCCUUCAGACUCAGCCUCAAAGCAGAACGUGGCCUUAUCCUAGGGGCAGGGCUUUUCCCAUAGACAACCAUCAAGCUUGGAAAUAGGCUUAAUUAGCACACAUGAGGAUGCUCAAGAUAUGUCAGAAAAUGCAUCUUUAACUACUUGGACCCAAUUAAAAUGAUCUUUGUAAAAAUAGUAAUAAAAAACUUCUAUUUGUUUCUUGCUGUGAAGCAAAUCUCUACAGUUCAGUCCUGGAAUUGAGAACUUAUGCACAUGCUGUGCUGAAGUCUUGUCUCAGAGGCCAAACUGCUGAUGUACUUUACAAGCUUGCACCUACUACAGACACGUGUAUCUGCUCAAGUAGGAUGACUGUCUUGACUCCAUACAGUGAAGGAAGAUGGAGAGUGUGGUAUUGGGUGGGUUUGCUCUAUGUUGGGAUGGAGCACUGCUUAGCAUAUUUUAUUUUGGGUAUCUGCAAUUAAUAUUCAUUAUGUUGAUGAGCAGAAUGAAUGUUCAAAAUCAUGCUGUACUUGAAAUUACUUACUGUAUAAUUUGUUUCUCCUCUUCUGUAAAAUACCUCAAAUUGUGCAAUAUUUAAAAUGACUUCUGCACUGCCAAAAAUGACUUACGCAUCAAUUAAAAUCCUUACAGACUUUAAUCACUUUACUGAAAUAUAUAAUUAUUCUUUGUUUGUUGUAAAAAC